GCGAACUGACGAGGAGCUUGCUCCUUUGACGUUAGCGGCGGACGGGUGAGUAACACGUGGGUAACCUACCUAUCAGACUGGAAUAACUCCGGGAAACCGGGGCUAAUGCCGGAUAACAUAUCGAACCGCCUGGUUCGAUCGUGAAAGACGGUCUUGCUGUCACUUAUAGAUGGACCCGCGCCGU
This 184-nucleotide ribosomal RNA is filed under the name Staphylococcus chromogenes. RNAcentral's name for it is "partial 16S ribosomal RNA". It matches the Rfam family "Bacterial small subunit ribosomal RNA", at positions 66 to 239 of the family's 1533-position model. The record is from RNAcentral. Lineage: Bacteria; Bacillati; Bacillota; Bacilli; Caryophanales; Staphylococcaceae.